UACGGAGGGGGCUAGCGUUGUUCGGAAUUACUGGGGGUAAAGCGCACGUAGGCGGACUGGAAAGUCAGGGGUGAAAUCCCGGGGCUCAACCCCGGAACUGCCUUUGAAACUCCCAGUCUUGAGGUCGAGAGAGGUGAGUGGAAUUCCCAGUGUAGAGGUGAAAUUCGUAGAUAUUCGGAGGAACACCAGUGGCGAAGGCGGCUCACUGGCUCGAUACUGAAGCUGAGGUGCGAAAUCGUGGGGAGCAAACAGG
This 253-nucleotide ribosomal RNA is filed under the name uncultured bacterium. Its description in RNAcentral is "partial 16S ribosomal RNA". It matches the Rfam family "Bacterial small subunit ribosomal RNA", at positions 524 to 776 of the family's 1533-position model. The record is from RNAcentral.